GCCGGGAUGGCUGAGUGGAAAAGCGCAUGCCUGGAGAGCCAGAUAACCUAUAAAGCAUGUGGGGCUUUCGCCCCUCGAGGGUUCGAAUCCCUCUCCCGGCG
Molecule: transfer RNA, 101 nt
Filed under: Candidatus Methanohalarchaeum thermophilum
Lineage: Archaea; Methanobacteriati; Methanobacteriota; Methanonatronarchaeia; Methanonatronarchaeales; Methanonatronarchaeaceae
Rfam family: tRNA
About the family: Transfer RNA (tRNA) molecules are approximately 80 nucleotides in length. Their secondary structure includes four short double-helical elements and three loops (D, anti-codon, and T loops).
Source: Rfam by way of RNAcentral